GAUGAACGCUGGCGGCGUGCUUAACACAUGCGAGUCGAACGAAGCAUUUGCGACAGAUUUUUUCGGAAUGAAGUUGCUUAUGACUGAGUGGCGGACGGGUGAGUAACGCGUGGGUAACCUGCCUUGUACUGGGGGAUAGCAGCUGGAAACGGCUGGUAAUACCGCAUAAGCGCACAAUGUUGCAUGACACGGUGUGAAAAACUCCGGUGGUAUAAGAUGGACCCGCGUCUGAUUAGCUAGUUGGUGAGAUAACAGCCCACCAAGGCGACGAUCAGUAGCCGACAUGAGAGGGUGACCGGCCACAUUGGGACUGAGACACGGCCCAGACUCCUACGGGAGGCAGCAGUGGGGAAUAUUGCACAAUGGAGGAAACUCUGAUGCAGCGACGCCGCGUGAGUGAAGAAGUAAUUCGUUAUGUAAAGCUCUAUCAGCAGGGAAGAUAGUGACGGUACCUGACUAAGAAGCGCCGGCUAAAUACGUG
This 481-nucleotide ribosomal RNA is filed under the name uncultured bacterium. RNAcentral's name for it is "partial 16S ribosomal RNA". It matches the Rfam family "Bacterial small subunit ribosomal RNA", at positions 28 to 507 of the family's 1533-position model. The record is from RNAcentral.